RNAcentral lists this long non-coding RNA (1429 nucleotides) under Capsicum annuum. RNAcentral describes it as "long non-coding RNA (CANN_LNC017713)". Lineage: Eukaryota; Viridiplantae; Streptophyta; Magnoliopsida; Solanales; Solanaceae. The record is from RNAcentral.
UCUAUUCCUCCCUUUAAAGUGGCUAAGAGACUAAGACAGGGUGACCCUAUAUCUCUAUUUUUAUUUUCCAUUUUUAUGGAGUUUCUUAGUCGAAGUCUGUCUAAGUUAAAGGAGGAUCAACAUUUUAGGUUUCAUCCUAAAUGUGCAAGAUUAGGGAUUACACACUUGUGUUUUGCUAAUGAUCUAUUACUGUUUGCACGAGGUGAUUUAUCCUCUAUUUCAGCAUUAUUUCAGUAUUUUCAAAGAUUUUCUCAAGCUUCGGGACUCACAACAAACAUAGAGAAAAGCAGUUUCUAUUGUGGUGGAAUGACAGAACAGGAAAAGACAAUUUUGUUACAGAAAUUUGGGUUCUGACUAGGAGAACUUCCCUUCAAAUAUCUGGGCAUCCCAUUAUCCAUAAAGAAAUUGGGUAUCCUGCAAUGGAGUCCUCUAAUAGACAAGAUUAUUGCAUAGAUAGCCUCAUAGACCUCCCAAAAACUAUCUUAUACCGGGAGGGUAUAAUUAGUACAGUUAAUCUUAUUUGAUAUACAAGCUUAUUGGUUCCAAUUAUUUUUUAUCCCCUUUAAAGUCCUGAAACUUAUUGAAGCCUACUGUCGAAGCUAUGUAUGAUCCGGGGUAAGUAUUAUUACUAGAAAAGCUCUUGUCUCGUGGAAUAAAAUGUGUAUACCUUACUCAAUUGGGGGCCUCAACCUUAUCAAUAUCUGCAUUUGGAAUAAGGCUGCACUAGCCAAAACCUGUUGGGACUUAGCUCACAAAAGUGACAAACUGUGGAUAUGUUGGAUUCAUAGCUUUUAUAUUAAAUCUGAUCAGGUCUCCACAACUCCUAUUCCAUAGCAAGCCUUUUGGACGAUCAAAAGUAUCAUUGCUACCAGAGAAACACUGCUGCAAACACAAUUGAUGGAGCAUCAACAUAAGAUAACAAUCCGAAAGAUUUAUUUACAAUUGCUGGGUGAAGGAACUAGGAUACCUUGGAAAUGUCUGAUGAUGGAUAAUGGAGCCCGACCAUAGGCAAAAAAUUCUUGUUGUUGUUGCAGAUUCAAAUCAAGUUACUAACAAAAGAUCAGCUACUCAAAUGGGAAUUAGAGGUGGAUAAAUUCUACAAGUUAUGUACAGGGAAUCAGGAAACUCGAACUCACCUGUUUGUUCACUGUGAAUACUCGAAGGAUUUGUGGCAUAGAUUAUUACGAUGGAUAGAGAUAAGUCCUGUUGAUACUAUUACAUGGGAGGAACAUGAGGAUUGGGUGAUAAAGAAAUUCAAGGGCAAAUCAUUACAGGCACAACUCUUUAAAAUGGUCUAUGCGGAAUUUGUACAUGCACUAUGGUUGAAAAGGAACUAUCGAUUGUUUGAAGAGAAGAAUAGACACUGGGAAUCUUUGGCUAAGGAGAUAGCCUAUUAUUGUAAUGUGAGAGCUAAUUUGGUUCUUCGAAC